RNAcentral lists this ribosomal RNA (483 nucleotides) under uncultured bacterium. RNAcentral describes it as "bacterial SSU rRNA". It matches the Rfam family "Bacterial small subunit ribosomal RNA", at positions 30 to 507 of the family's 1533-position model. The record is from RNAcentral.
AUUGAACGCUGGCGGCAUGCCUUACACAUGCAAGUCGAACGGCAGCGGACCUUCGGGUGCCGGCGAGUGGCGAACGGGUGAGUAAUAUAUCGGAACGUACCUUUCAGUGGGGGAUAACGCAGCGGAAGUUACGCUAAUACCGCAUAUUCUGUGAGCAGGAAAGCAGGGGAUCGCAAGACCUUGCGCUGAUUGAGCGGCCGAUAUCAGAUUAGCUAGUUGGUGAGGUAAAGGCUCACCAAGGCGACGAUCUGUAGCGGGGUCUGAGAGGAUGAUCCGCCACACUGGAACUGAGACACGGUCCAGACUCCUACGGGAGGCAGCAGUGGGGAAUUUUGGACAAUGGGCGCAAGCCUGAUCCAGCCAUGCCGCGUGAGUGAAGAAGGCCUUCGGGUUGUAAAGCUCUUUCGGCCGGGAAGAAAUCGCACAGGUUAAUACCCUGUGUGGAUGACGGUACCGGAAUAAGAAGCACCGGCUAACUACGUG